CCGCCGACCGACCUUGAUCUUUUGUGAAGGGUUCGAGUGUGAGCAUGNCUGUCGGGACCCNNARGAUGGUGAACUAUGCSUGAGCNGGGCGAAGCCAGAGGAAACUCUGGUGGAGGCCCGNAGCGAUACUGACGUGCAAAUCGUUCGUCUGACUUGGGKAUAGGGGCGAAAGACUAAUCGAACCGUCUAGUAGCCCCUGGAAACGGUUCAGCCGGAGGUAGGGUCCAGCGGCUGGAAUANCACCGCACGUNGCGUGGUGUCCGGUGCCCCCGGCGGCCCUUGAAAAUCCGGAGGACCGGGUGCCGGCCGGGGGACGGUUCGGGGGCCUUUCCCCGGGCGUCGAACAGUCGACUCAGAACUGGUACGGACAAGGGGRNUCCGACUGUUUAAUUAAAACAAAGCAUUCCGAUGGU
This 413-nucleotide ribosomal RNA is filed under the name Chamaenerion angustifolium. RNAcentral describes it as "28S rRNA". It matches the Rfam family "Eukaryotic large subunit ribosomal RNA", at positions 758 to 2169 of the family's 3401-position model. Lineage: Eukaryota; Viridiplantae; Streptophyta; Magnoliopsida; Myrtales; Onagraceae. The record is from RNAcentral.